ACGAACGCUGGCGGCAGGCCUAACACAUGCAAGUCGAGCGCGCCUUCGGGUGAGCGGCGGACGGGUGAGUAACACGUGGGAAUAUGCCUUUCGGUGCGGAAUAGUCUUGGGAAACUGAGGGUAAUACCGCAUAUGCCCCUUGGGGGAAAGAUUUAUCGCCGAAAGAUUAGCCCGCGUUGGAUUAGGUAGUUGGUGGGGUAAUGGCCUACCAAGCCGACGAUCCAUAGCUGGUUUGAGAGGAUGAUCAGCCACACUGGGACUGAGACACGGCCCAGACUCCUACGGGAGGCAGCAGUGGGGAAUCUUAGACAAUGGGGGCAACCCUGAUCUAGCCAUGCCGCGUGAGUGAUGAAGGCCUUAGGGUUGUAAAGCUCUUUCAGCUGGGAAGAUAAUGACGUACCAGCA
RNAcentral lists this ribosomal RNA (405 nucleotides) under alpha proteobacterium oral taxon A23. Its description in RNAcentral is "bacterial SSU rRNA". It matches the Rfam family "Bacterial small subunit ribosomal RNA", at positions 29 to 483 of the family's 1533-position model. The record is from RNAcentral. Lineage: Bacteria; Pseudomonadati; Pseudomonadota; Alphaproteobacteria.